UGCUUUUUUUUUUUUUCCCGAACGACCGCAGCAGGGUCACAAGGGAGAUGUCCGCCCCCAGUCGUAGCCUCGGACGGUUUCUGAGCGUUGGUGUUUGGCACGCGCCACCCUCUCUUGCUUUGGUUCCGCCAUGCCGAUGUACCAGGUAAAACCUUAUCACGGGCGCGGCGCGCCUCUCCGUGUGGAGCUUCCCACCUGCAUGUACCGGCUCUCUAACGUGCAAGGCAGGAGCGGCGGCCCAGCGCCCGGCGUUGGCCACCUACAGACGGAGUUUCACUGUGUCACCCAGGCUGGAGUGCAGUGGUGUGAGCUCGGCUCACUGCAACCUCUGCCUCCCGGGUUCAAGCAGUUCUCCCAUCUCAGCCUCCUGAGUAGCUUGGAUUACAGGUGCACGCCACCACACCCAACUAAUUUUUGUAUUUUUAGCAGAGACGGGGUUUCACCAUUUUGGCCAGGAUGGUCUUGAUCUCUUGACCUCAUGAUCCACCCGCCUCAGCCUUCCAAAGUGCUGGGAUUACAGGUGCGAGCCACCAUGCCUGGCCUUUUAUUUCUUUUUUUGAGCCCAUUCUCUCCCUGUUUUAUUUUUAAAAUUUUAUUAAAC
This 601-nucleotide long non-coding RNA is filed under the name Homo sapiens (human). RNAcentral describes it as "PREDICTED lncRNA (TCONS_00237393)". The record is from RNAcentral. Lineage: Eukaryota; Metazoa; Chordata; Mammalia; Primates; Hominidae.